GGCGGGACACGUGGUAUCCUGUCUGAAUAUGGGGGGACCAUCCUCCAAGGCUAAAUACUCCUGACUGACCGAUAGUGAACCAGUACCGUGAGGGAAAGGCGAAAAGAACCCCGGCGAGGGGAGUGAAAAAGAACCUGAAACCGUGUACGUACAAGCAGUGGGAGCACAGGUUUACCUGUGUGACUGCGUACCUUUUGUAUAAUGGGUCAGCGACUUAUAUUCUGUAGCAAGGUUAACCGUAUAGGGGAGCCGUAGGGAAACCGAGUCUUAACCGGGCGUUAAGUUGCAGGGUAUAGACCCGAAACCCGGUGAUCUAGCCAUGGGCAGGUUGAAGGUUGGGUAACACUAACUGGAGGACCGAACCGACUAAUGUUGAAAAAUUAGCGGAUGACCUGUGGCUGGGGGUGAAAGGCCAAUCAAACCGGGAGAUAGCUGGUUCUCCCCGAAAGCUAUUUAGGUAGCGCCUCGUGAAUUCAUCUCCGGGGGUAGAGCACUGUUUCGGCUAGGGGGCCAUCCCGGCUUACCAACCCGAUGCAAACUGCGAAUACCGGAGAAUGUUAUCACGGGAGACACACGGCGGGUGCUAACGUCCGUCGUGAAGAGGGAAACAACCCAGACCGCCAGCUAAGGUCCCAAAGUCAUGGUUAAGUGGGAAACGAUGUGGGAAGGCCCAGACAGCCAGGAUGUUGGCUUAGAAGCAGCCAUCAUUUAAAGAAAGCGUAAUAGCUCACUGGUCGAGUCGGCCUGCGCGGAAGAUGUAACGGGGCUAAACCAUG
This 776-nucleotide ribosomal RNA is filed under the name Salmonella enterica subsp. enterica serovar Bareilly. RNAcentral describes it as "partial 23S ribosomal RNA". It matches the Rfam family "Bacterial large subunit ribosomal RNA", at positions 416 to 1191 of the family's 2925-position model. The record is from RNAcentral. RNAcentral also lists the same sequence under 1 other name. Lineage: Bacteria; Pseudomonadati; Pseudomonadota; Gammaproteobacteria; Enterobacterales; Enterobacteriaceae.